This 497-nucleotide ribosomal RNA is filed under the name uncultured bacterium. Its description in RNAcentral is "partial 16S ribosomal RNA". It matches the Rfam family "Bacterial small subunit ribosomal RNA", at positions 28 to 507 of the family's 1533-position model. The record is from RNAcentral.
GACGAACGCUGGCGGCGUGCCUAAUACAUGCAAGUUGAGCGCUGACGGAUGGUACUUGUACCCACUGGAUGAGCAGCGAACGGGUGAGUAACGCGUGGGGAAUCUGCCUUUGAGCGGGGGACAACAUUUGGAAACGAAUGCUAAUACCGCAUAAAAACUUUAAACACAGGAUUUAAGUUUGAAAGAUGCAUUUGCAUCACUCAAAGAUGAUCCCGCGUUGGAGUAGCUAGUUGGUGAGGUAAAGGCUCACCAAGGCGAUGAUACAUAGCCGACCUGAGAGGGUGAUCGGCCACAUUGGGACUGAGACACGGCCCAAACUCCUACGGGAGGCAGCAGUAGGGAAUCUUCGGCAAUGGACGAAAGUCUGACCGAGCAACGCCGCGUGAGUGAAGAAGGUUUUCGGAUCGUAAAACUCUGUUGGUAGAGAAGAACGUUGGUGAGAGUGGAAAGCUCAUCAAGUGACGGUAACUACCCAGAAAGGGACGGCUAACUACGUG